RNAcentral lists this ribosomal RNA (331 nucleotides) under uncultured eukaryote. RNAcentral describes it as "partial 18S ribosomal RNA". It matches the Rfam family "Eukaryotic small subunit ribosomal RNA", at positions 1470 to 1796 of the family's 1831-position model. The record is from RNAcentral.
CCCUUAGAUGUUCUGGGCCGCACGCGCGCUACACUGACGAAGUCAGCGAGCAUGUCCUACGCCGACAGGUGCGGGGAAUCUUGUCAAACUUCGUCGUGAUGGGGAUUGAUUAUUGAAAUUCUUGAUCAUCAACGAGGAAUUCCUAGUAAGCGCAAGUCAGCAGUUUGCGUUGAUUACGUCCCUGCCCUUUGUACACACCGCCCGUCGCUACUACCGAUUGAAUGGUUUAGUGAGAUCUUCGGAUUGGCGCCACUGCGGCUCAGCAAUGGGCUCGGUGGAUGCCGAAAAGUUGAUCAAACUUGAUCAUUUAGAGGAAGUAAAAGUCGUAACA